UGGAGGUUUUUAAGAAGAGAUUGAACAACCAUUUGUCUGAAAUGAUAUAGCGUCUCCUGUUCAAGCAAAACUUGAUAACCUCCAAGGUCUUUUUCAACUCUGUUGUUUUGAUAUUUUGUUAUCCUGUUUCUAAAGUGUUGCAAAGCAUCUUCUAAAGUCUAAAAAACUCAUUAACCUAACAUUAGCUUUCAACAAAGUUUAAUUUCUAUUAUCCAUGAUUGAUGACAAAACCGUUGAAAAAAAAUAUGAUCUUGCUUUUCCUGGCUUAAAAAGAUGGUUUGGGAAGGGGAAGAACAAAUGAAUAAAAGAACGCUUCUUCAGAAUAGAGAAUGUUCUUGAACAUGGUUGCCAUUGGAAUUCAGGAGGCUUCUAGAUUUCUGCAGGACAAUCAAUCUAAUAAUUGUAGAAAACCAAGAGUCUUCUGGCAACAUUUUUCUUUUUGGCAUUUAAGCUUGAUUUGAUACAAAAUUAGAUUUAAAUCAGUCACCAUCUUCUACAAAUGUGUCUCCCCGAACAACGGACUUGCUAGGCUUUUGUCUCAAAUUGGGUGUCGGUUGCUAUGGUUACUUGUAAUUGCCUGGACUGGGGCCAAAAACUGAAUCCAGGAAAGGGAGAGAUUCUGUUAGUGGAUUGUAUGUAUCCUUUGUGUGUGUCCUUUUUCUCCGUGUUGGCAAGCAAGUUAAGACUUACUAAGCUUGAGUUUUCCUCCUAGUUGGCAACUAAGAACCAGGGGGUGUUUAAAUCCUAGAGUGCUUAAGAACACACUAGGACUCACCCGAACAUUAAGGGAACACAAAACACUUGAGAAGACAGCAGGAGAGGAUACAACUCAACCAAAGAAUGAAGGAGAUGGCUCACUGAUUAUUUGUAUGCCAGGGACUGCCUUUCCAGAAAACAGGAAGAAAUACAAAUGCAGAAAAAAUAGAUGACAAACUAAUUCUCAAAUAAAUUUAAGAAAAGUGCACAUUGAAUCCUAUUCACAAAAUUAUAAUUUAUAACUCUUAUUGAACAAUGUUGUAUGACUCAUGGAAAUUAAUUGGUAGAAAUUAGAUCUGGUAAUUGAAUAGGUUCACACAAAAUAUGCUUCACAAACAAUAUCAUAAUGGAUUGAUUUCCUCAAAAAUAAACAAAUUUCAUGAUAGUUGCCCAUUUACAAUAGAUUUAAAUGGAUAUAUUCAAUUAUUACUAAAUCUGGGUGUAAUCUAAUAUAAAUAUGUUUACUGAGACUGGGCCCCAUAGGCAAAUCCAGAAAAAAAAUGAAAGUGUCAUGGUUCCGAAACUCCUCAAAAGAACUUCAAGGGAUUGUUUACCUUAAAGAAUCUUUUAUUCGUAAUUGAGAACAAAAAAUGAAUUCCUCUCCCCUGGGCACAUAGUAUCAAAGCACAAUUCCCUCCUCCAAUUAACUGUCAUAAAUCACAUUCCCCAAUUAGCUUGAAGCAAGGGGCUUCCUCUCCAGUUCUCCAGCAUUGACAGAAAGUUUACAUAGGUAUAUAAAAGGUUAAUCAAAGUCCUGACGGUUCACCUGGAACCUCCCAAUAUUAAAAAAUUCCCUGUAGACCUCAUUAUAUGUAAAUUAAUACAUCAGCAGUUUUACUUGCCAAUUAACAGAAAUUCUUUAUUGAUGUAAAUUUCCUAAGGAAUACCCUUUUACUGAAUAAAUUAAGCUAUGCAUAUUACCCUGAAAACUUAUUUGCCCAUUUAAUUUUAGUGUCAGUAUCACAGAAAUGAUCCUGAACAUGUUCUUUGGCCUUUUUAGUUUAAAAUCUAGUUUAAAAUCCGAGAAGUAAACAGAUAGCAAAAUAUAUAUUUCCAGAAUUAUAACAGUCAUGUCUCAUUUUAAUAGUUAUUUUAUUUAUUUGUAACCCUCCUUUAUUAUUUUUACAAAUGAUGCAAGGUGGUGAACAUAUCCAACACACCUUCCUCUUCCUAUUCUCCCCAUAACAACCAUCCUUGAAGUUUCUUAGGCUGAGAGAGCAACAGACCCAAGGCCUGGCUUUCAUACUUAAGAUGGAAGAGAACUCACCAUUUCCGACUUUCUAGCCAGGUGCCUUAACCACUAGGCCAAACUGGCUCUUCUAGGUUACAUUUACUUUACAAAUAUGGAACAACAGUAGCAAUUGUUACAUUGAGCUGAAUGGCUUAGAUUAGAAGAAAAUCUAAAUGAAGUACUUCUUGAUUAAUUUGCACUUGAUUAAUCUGCACCGAUCAACCAAAACCGAUUGCUUCCGACUUACCCAGAGCAAUUGCUCAAAUAUACUAAACAGCUGUUCCAUAUUUAUAACAAAAAAUACUCACUGAUAACAGAUAGCUAAUUUUAGGUUCAUGGUGAAACAUGAGCAAGUUAAUUUAGAUCAGAUUCAUGUUAUUUGAAAAUACAUUGGACAGACUGAGAGGAA
Molecule: long non-coding RNA, 2396 nt
Organism: Crotalus tigris (Tiger rattlesnake)
Lineage: Eukaryota; Metazoa; Chordata; Lepidosauria; Squamata; Viperidae
Exons: 4
Source: RefSeq, a predicted model, not a curated record